Molecule: non-coding RNA, 27 nt
Filed under: Homo sapiens (human)
Lineage: Eukaryota; Metazoa; Chordata; Mammalia; Primates; Hominidae
Source: RNAcentral
UGCAGCAAUUGUUCUCACUUUGGUUGU